UACGUAGGGUGCGAGCGUUGUCCGGAUUUAUUGGGCGUAAAGAGCUCGUAGGCGGUCUGUCGCGUCGGCUGUGAAAACCCGGAGCUCAACUCCGGGCCUGCAGUCGAUACGGGCAGACUGGAGUUCGGCAGGGGAGACUGGAAUUCCUGGUGUAGCGGUGAAAUGCGCAGAUAUCAGGAGGAACACCGGUGGCGAAGGCGGGUCUCUGGGCCGGUACUGACGCUGAGGAGCGAAAGCGUGGGGAGCGAACAGG
Molecule: ribosomal RNA, 253 nt
Filed under: uncultured bacterium
Lineage: Bacteria
Description: partial 16S ribosomal RNA
Rfam family: Bacterial small subunit ribosomal RNA
Source: RNAcentral